AUCCAGUUGACGAGUUCAAAAUAGGACGAAAUGCGCGUUAUCCUGGAU
This 48-nucleotide non-coding RNA is filed under the name Trichobilharzia regenti. Lineage: Eukaryota; Metazoa; Platyhelminthes; Trematoda; Strigeidida; Schistosomatidae. The record is from RNAcentral.